UUUUAAUCAAAAUAUAAUAUUAUAAAUAUAGGUAGGUACCUGCCUGGUUUCAGUUUUUUUUCUUCACACUUAUAAAAUAUGUCAUCAUCUAACUCAGAUUCAACGAGUGAUGAUGAUUUUAUCGUUGAAGUGCUUCAGGUGUUAUCGAGACCCAUGUUUUUUCCUGAUCCAAUCCGUCGACAGAAUAUAAUGAUACCUACAGAUUUUAAACAGAGAUUUAGGUUAUCUAAAACAAUUUUUAAUGAACUACUGGAUAUGGUUCAAGAUAGCUUAUGUCAAAAUACACACCGAUGUCAUUGUCACCAAAAUUGCAGCUUCUAAUACAACUGAUAUAAUGCAACUGGUACUUUUCAGGCAGUUUUAGGAGACCAGAUACGAAUCCAUAAAUCAAAGUGUCAAAGUGUCGUAUGACACAAAAAGUAUCAACAUGUAUCACUAAAACCAAAAUACAUUCAAAUGCCAGAAACAAAAGCUGACAGAAAAUUUGUCUAUGAAAAUUUCUAAAAAAUGUGCCAAUUUUCUAAAGUCAUUGGAGCAAUAGAUUGUAUUCAUAUCACUAUAUCAGGAUACAAUCUCCCAGUAAAAAUAUUAGAAAAAAAUUCCGCAAAAGAAUAGGCUAUUUUUCAAUUAAUGUUCAAGCUGUAUGCAACUAAUUUAAACAUUGUCUAUGUCCUUUA
Molecule: long non-coding RNA, 677 nt
Organism: Rhopalosiphum padi (bird cherry-oat aphid)
Lineage: Eukaryota; Metazoa; Arthropoda; Insecta; Hemiptera; Aphididae
Exons: 3
Source: RefSeq, a predicted model, not a curated record